Molecule: transfer RNA, 67 nt
Filed under: Entemnotrochus rumphii
Lineage: Eukaryota; Metazoa; Mollusca; Gastropoda; Pleurotomariida; Pleurotomariidae
Description: tRNA-Phe
Source: RNAcentral
GUUGGGGUAGCUUAUAUGGAGAGCGCAGCGCUGAAGUUGUUGAGGAGAAAACUUGUUUCCCCCUUCA